AAAAAAGCUGCCUCACCUAUAACAAUCCUUUUCUUCUGCUAAUAACUCGCGCCCCCACCCUCCUUCUAGAAAAACCUUCUACUUUGUACAACUCCUUCAAGUGCCUCUCUACUUGCUAGUUGGGGUAGUGCCAGAUUCAGGAAUCGUUUAAUAAAGCCAACUUAUCUUCCAAUUUACUUGGGUGAAUUUUGUUAUUUAACAGGUAUAAACUGACAAAUAAAACUGUAAGAUACUUGAAGUAUACAAUAUGAUGACUUAAUUUACAUAUAUACACAUAUACCAGUAAGUUAAUGUGAUCCACCACACCACAUAUUACACUUUGUUGGGCAGGAGGCAAGAGGAAUGGAAACAUUUAAGUUCUCCUCUCUUAGCAAAUUUCAAUUAUGCAAUACGGUGUUAUCAACUAUAGUCAUCAAGUUAUACUUUCGAUCUUCAAACCUUAAUUACCUUUUAUAAUGGAGAGUUUGUACUCUUUUACCAACAUCUCCCUAUUUUUCCCACUCCCUAAAUAUGGUGCUGUUUUUAAAGACUCAACUGAAAUGAUCUCUAGUGAACAGAAGUAAAAAAUCAAGGGCUUCCAGUAUUCACUUGUGAGAUACAGAUCUCCCCUGUUCAGGGACACAGUAUUAAUAUAAUGGACAAAAAGCCUAAGAAUUCAUGAAAAAGAAAAUAAGGUAUCAAAUCUUAACACAACAGCUCUUUCCUCUUCAAAAGUUUGAUUUCUCUAACCUUCUAAUAACAUGUUUCUCUUUCUCUUUAUUGUUCCUGUUUUGGAAUGUGGGCAAAGAAACCAAAUGCACUUAUUUCCACUGAAGUAUGAUUUUUCAGAACUACCAAAAGAGAUCUUUUUGUUUUUCAGCUUAAAAGGUUUUAUUAUUAUGUACAAAAAGAUUUUUUCUGAUUAGUGUAUUUAGAUGCAAGAUACGAGUCUACAUAUUUCUUGGUUCUGUUUGGUUUUGAAUGGGGCAUACACUGCAAUCACAGCACUAGAAGAUUCAACUUAUUAUCAGACUUCUCACCUAACUCAGCCUGAACCCAACACCCUGGGAUAUCAUUUUUCUCAUGGCACCUGGUGACCACUGAAUAAACACUAUUAUACACAAAGGAAUUCUAUGCCACACCAUCUUUUGCAUUACGUUCAGCCUAUUUCCUAAGUGACAGUGACAGGACCCACAUGGAAUGAUCUAAGUUGAACAAAAAAGUCUAUUACAUAUUCCAUGACAGCUAGAAAAAAAUCACUUAACCUCUUCAAUGGUAAAACUCACUCUGCCUUCCUAACAGGGUUAAUUGCAUCAAAUAAAAAUAAAAAGUGUUCCUAUAUAGUAUUUUUUUAAAAAGUGUGUGCAUAUAUGGUUGGUCAAUAGUAAUGAAAUCACAAAAGUUAAUUACAUCUUCAGUAUAUGGUAUUCAUUCAAGCAAAAGUAAAAUUGAGUCCUUACAGACAAAGAGCUCUCUGGUGAAACAACUCAAUACUCAAGUAUUGGUAAUGUUCACCUUCUCCCUUUUCAUACUUGUUUCUCUCAGACCUCUAGGAUAAUGGGAUAAACAAGAGAGAUUCAAAAAACAUUUUUAAUCCCAAGAAAUAUAUUUAUAGAUGUAUAAUGAUCAAAAGCAUACCAACAUCCUAUGUUUGAAAACAAAAAUCAUUCAAAUUGAGUAAUUACAUAAAAAUAUGAUAUUAUAUGAACCGAUCUUGACAGAACCAAAACCAGGGAGAAAAUAAGCAAUCAUCUAGGUCAGAGGCUCACGUUCUUCACCACUGAAGACUGUAUCUGCUACAAAGUGAUUGUCUUGGUCAAGAAAACAAAGUCCAAGAAAAUAACUGGCAAAUUACUUUGAACAGAAUAUAUAAAUUAUUUUCUUUUAGAAACUCAUCUUGGAUGAGUAGCUGGAUUCCCUCCUCCUAACAUAUACAAAGUCGUUAAAGUCAUAAUUUGCUAUAAUUUUUAAGCAUCCAAUUUCAUAAGUGAAGAAAGAAGAUACCUUUUUUUUUUCUCUUUACAAAAUUCAAAGAAAACAAGCUUGCAUUACAGUUUUAAGGAUCUUGGUGCAGCAGAUUCCACAACUCAUAAAUUAUAAUGUGUUUCUUUGCAGCACCCUCUCUACAUGUAGCUGACUUAAAAACGCAGUAAAGAGAAAGCAACAGUACCACUAGCUUUUGGUAGAAUGAGUGCUAUGCUACAGAUCUCUGCCUGCUUUUCAAACCAGUAAUCCAUCAAGGUCCAGGACAAAACAGUAACUGGUUCUGCUCAACUCAUCACUGAGCAAAUAUGUUAAUGUACGUCUCACUGGGUGUGGGUGCCAUUAUUGCACAGCCCGAAUAUUACAUGCAGUUUGUGUUUUGCCUUGUUCAAAAUGCAGACUGCCUCUGUUAGGAAGAGGCCAAAAAUACUAUCCCCUGCAAGCUGCUCAACUACAGAGUCCAAGAAAGCCUGCACCCUUCCUGAAUGACGGUUGACCUGCUGAAAGCUGUACUUCCGAGAAUACAAUAAUACCUGAACCCAAAAGAAGUUCAUCUAAAAGCACUUGAAUUAUUUAGGUUGUUCACCUACAGUGAAUUAUCAAAAUCUGUAAAUAAAAUAAUACUAGCACAUCUAAGGAAGGAUCUCUGUGGUAAAAGAAAGUGAAUAGACUUAGAAGUGUUACCCCAAAACAGUGUACUCAGAAAGCUCAACGGAAAGACCUACCAUUCUUUUUUUAAAAAUAUUUAGUUAUUCAUGACACACACACGCAGAGAGAGAGAGAGAGGCAGAGACACAGGCAGAGGGAGAACCAGGCUCUUGUGAGGAGCCCAAUGUGGGACUCGAUCCCAGGACCCCAAGAUCAUGACCUACGCUGAAGGCAGAUGUUCAAUCCGAGCCACCCAAGUGCCCCAAGACCUACCAUUCUUGUAAAGUGCCCAACUCAUAUGAAAGCUCUAAAUAAAUGUUUAUUGAAGCUAAUUAAAAUCAAUAAACUUCUCUAAGGCUUAAGUCACUUAAAAUAAGUCAAAGAUUAUAAAUCAUCACUAUAAUGAAGCCCUUCUUUCAAUUAGGAUUCUUCUAUGGUGGAUGAGUUGGUGCUUCUGAUAAAUACAGUGUGUUAUGGCCAUGCUGGAGGUUGCCCUGGCAGUGCCCAAGCUUUGGGGGUUUCUUUAUGGAGGUGCCACCAUGGCCCUGAGCUCAAGACUGAACUCUGCUCUUUCCUUCAUGGGGAGAAAUGAGUAGAUCCCUUUCUCCUGAGAGAGCUCUUUUGAGAAUCUUUAUUUUGUUGCUGCUUUCUUUUUCAUGUGUCAUAUAUGCCCACCUCAUUCCCUAAGAGAACUUGCAGCAUUUUAACAACCGAUCAUGAAAAAGACUAAAUCUGUUCUAAAAUGCUCCAAGAUAGAGAAUUUUUUGUAAUAUUAAAAUAUAUAAAACAGCUAAGUUAAAAACUAAAAUGGAUCAGAAACCACUUAGGAAGUAAUGAAGUCAAAAGAAGUAUGUGAAUCCAUAUGGAAAGACAACUCCACUGGUAAUAAACACUCAGAGGAGUUUUUUUGCACAAUAUUUCCUGGGUUAAGAAGUAGAAUACAUAAUGCCCUUCAGUUCAUUCAUUAAUUCAACUGUUUCAUUCAUUCAACUGUUUAUUGAAAGCACUUGCUAUGUGCACUGCACUGUUGACUAAGAAACAUUCUUCACAUAGCUGCUGCUUAACCUGACCUCUGAUCAAACUCCAGAACGUGACUUUAGUUGUACUCAACAAGUCAGAUUCAAAGAAGAGAAGCUUUAAAAAAUUAUUCAACAAAUACAUUCUACCAGAAACCUAAGGUUUUAGGUAAGAUGUGUUGUAUUUUGGUGAUAGGAUUUGUCCCCAGCAACAGAGUUCAGAGACUAUUCAGCUCUUAUGAAGUAGUAGGUCCCUUGAACUGGAAUCUUUCUCCAAACACUGUUUCAAACCUGCUUCAGCAGGAGGCCGUCCAUGCAAGCCUGGGCUCUCUGCUGAGUGCUGCAGGAUGUGGGAGUAUACAUUUUUUUAAUUGAUGCCAGACAAGCAGAGUAGACAUUCUAUUUUGACACUUAGGAAGACAACUUUCAUCCCUGUUUCAAUGGAAACAAUCCCACUUCAGUAAAUAGGCAGGUACAGGGGUGUCUCUGAAAAGGACCAAUAUUUUUCUUAAAAAAUGAAGAUAUUUUCAGCUGCUCAAAUGAUUCUUACCGAGUACAUGAUACAGAUGCCUUUUUCCAGAAAACAAUUCUUAAGGAUGCCAUUUGCUAAUCAUAUUCUGUAUCGAUAGGCUCUUUAAGAUAACAAAUGUAAAGCAGCACUGCAUCUUGAUACCCCCCACCAGCAUGAGUUAGAGGCAAGAGGGGUCUCAGGUCUGCUCACUGGUUUUAUGCAACGGCAUGGAACUCUCAAAUAGAGUUGUGUGUCUUCUCAUCAAGAUGUGUAAGAAUGCCUGGCACUCUGUACAGGAUGACAACAACAACACAUACCCCAUACAAAAAUAAAGUCAUCCCUCCUCGCCCCCCACAAAAGACUCAUGCCUAAGACACAUUGAAACACUGAGCCCUCGCUUUAGCUUUUUCCCCCAGAGCAAAACUUGGACAACUGGACGUGACACUGAUUUUGACGAAUGCCCAUCACAUUCCAACAAUGGCUGGCCAUGUGAAAUCACUCCGGGCUAACCAAGAGUGUACAAGUAUGUGCUCCCCACCCUCCUUCCCUAGCUCCUCAGCACCACCUGCCUUCCUCAUCCAGAAAGCGUUACUGCCCACCUUCUCAGGGAGGGGAAGCCAGAGCCCAGUCACAGUUUGUGUUAGAAGAUGGAUGUGAGAAGCUGCACUUCUUUGCCCAUCCCCGGAAUAGACGUGGUUCAAGCGUGGCAUCUGGCAAAUCUAAUCAUGUGAAGCAAAUCUACAGAAGUGCUCCAAACAGGAUGCCGGAGAGCAUAUUGCCCUCAGAGCCUGUUACGAUAAAUGGAGAGAGGUGUACACGCAGGCAAAGAUACCAAUUACCCAAGCUGGCAUGUGCCCAGCUCAGAACAACUAACACACCCUAAAUGUGUAAAUAAUC
This 5034-nucleotide long non-coding RNA is filed under the name Canis lupus familiaris (dog). Its description in RNAcentral is "lncRNA (ENSCAFG00000055073.1)". Lineage: Eukaryota; Metazoa; Chordata; Mammalia; Carnivora; Canidae. The record is from RNAcentral.